UACGGAGGGGGCAAGCGUUGUUCGGAAUUACUGGGCGUAAAGCGCGCGUAGGCGGACGGGUAAGUCGCGGGUGAAAUCCCGCGGCUCAACCGUGGAACUGCGGGCGAUACUGGCUGUCUUGAGGUCGGGAGAGGUGAGUGGAAUUCCUAGUGUAGAGGUGAAAUUCGUAGAUAUUCGGAGGAACACCAGUGGCGAAGGCGGCUCUCUGGCCAGGUUCUGACGCUGAGGUGAGAAAGCUUGGGGAGCAAACGGG
This 253-nucleotide ribosomal RNA is filed under the name uncultured bacterium. Its description in RNAcentral is "partial 16S ribosomal RNA". It matches the Rfam family "Bacterial small subunit ribosomal RNA", at positions 524 to 776 of the family's 1533-position model. The record is from RNAcentral.